Molecule: long non-coding RNA, 3024 nt
Filed under: Capsicum annuum
Lineage: Eukaryota; Viridiplantae; Streptophyta; Magnoliopsida; Solanales; Solanaceae
Description: long non-coding RNA (CANN_LNC010567)
Source: RNAcentral
GGAUAAGUAUGUUAUUUCUGAAUUUUGCCCAUCUAUAUAUUGGGACCUUGGCCCAUAACCUGUCCUAGUCUAAUUUUUGAACCUUUGGCUCGAGUUUCACUUUACCUGUAUUAAAUACAACUUUGGCUUCGAGGCCCAAAUGAGUGAAUAAAUAAAUAAAAUAAAUAACAACAACAAUAAAAAUGAAUAAAUAAAUAAAUGAAACUUUCAAGUCUCUUAGCCGCUUCGAGGAUGAGACUUUAACCCAUUUUCCUUCUUUUGACUCCUUGCAUCUGUAUUUAAUUUGACUUUAGGCUUUUUUCGGCUUGACUCAGAAAGUAGGCCUUAUUGUCCCAUUAUGAAUAUGCAAAAAGGGAAGAGUCCGUGUGGGACUCGAAUGAUGUCCAUGCAUAGAAAAAAUAAAUAAAGUAAACAUUAAUACAUAAUCGAUAGAGUAAAAGAAGUCAACCUAUGAUCAAACUAAAUAGGAAAACUAAAAUAGCUAAUACAUGAUCAACCAAGGAGGAACGAAAACGUAAAGAAAAUUUGUUCAUAUUAACUACAUAAGUAAAGAAACAAGGAUCCAAACAAAUAAUUGAAAAAAAAUGGAGAUAAUAAGACACACAUAUCAACUCAAAAAAUAGGCGCAAUCAAGGUAGGAGAAUUAAAGUAACUAACGUGGGAUCAACAUAAUGAAGGAAGAGGAUACAUGGAACCCAAUACCUAAUCAACUGAGAAAAUAACAUGACAUGGAUAUUUAAUAAUUAAAAAUCAAUUAGUGAAUAACGAGAUAUGCUCGUAAGGGCAAAACAAUAACAUGGAGGAGUGGCAGGUAUUCAAGUAGUAACGGAAAUAGAAAUUGAAUUAAUUUCUAGACUAAAAUUUAAGAAGACAUUAGCGGGGCUAGAGGGACAUUUUCUGGGACUCUGAGAGGCAACCUUUGAGAAAGAAUUCUCAGACUUUAUUUGUAAGAAAAAUUAAGUAGCAACAACUACUGAACGACCAAAGCUUUUCUUUUUGGACUUCAAAUGAUAUAAAGAUCAAUCGCGUCAUUGUGUUAGCGAAGUCAUUACUUCACAAAAAAAAAGAAGGGAAAAAAACCUUUCGGGAUGUAAAUCUCACCGUAAUGAACUCUUUUCGGUAUGUGAAGUUAUAGGGUUAUUAUUGCAUGAUAAUCGAACAAAACAAGCAAGGGCAGGAAAACACUUGAUGAUCCCGAAUGCUCCAAAGGGAAGAUUGGCAGUAGACCCUCGAAGAUGGAAGUAGACAACCGUGAUACUCUACUCCACAUUUCGACCUAGCUUUCGAGAGUAAAAUGGAUAUGACUUCAUCCCUCCUUUCUUGACCAAGAAAAUCAUCGGGAAUCUUUAAUCUUAACACAAAUUACAUACAUAGUGCAACAACAAAAUUGAAAUAUCCUUUUCGAACAAGCAUAGUUCAACAGGGCAAUAUCGCAUUUACCAUUCUAACAAAAACCCAAACUGGACAAAAAUCCAAAAGAAAAACGAAAAUCAAAUUUCAAUUUUUUGAUACCAAAAUAGGCGCAACUGACAAAUUAAAGAAAGGGGAGUGGCAGGGGAUAUUAUUCUCAUCCUCACCCUCUUUCUGAUAGACUCAAAUAAAAUGACCAUCGAGAGAUAGUCCUACUAGCGACAUUGCGACACCGUCUACAAAUGAUAACAUAUAAGAUAACGUCAAAAAACAUCUACGAUUAAGACCUCAUCAGGAUGGAAACCAUUAAGCAAGAAUCAAAACAUAGACCUUAACCAUGAAAAUAGUGACCCAACCCAAAAACAGCAACAAUGAAAAAAAUGACCUGAACUACAAACAGUGCACCAGAUGAGGACCUAGAUAAAAAAUUACUCGAUAUUGUCAAGAUUACAUGACCAACUAAAAAAUCGAGACAAUGAUGACAGAAAACCACAUAUUAUAAUAGGAAAUAACCCUAACAAAACAAAACUAAGUAUCCUUCUUCACUAAAGAGAAACCUAUGACCUAUAAAGCCUUUACAGCAAACAACCCAGCACACCACAUCACUAAAAGAAACCUACAACUUCAAAAGGUUAGGAUAUAGAAGAAAUAGUCGAAAGCUUAAAUGGAAUGUGAUAUUACCUAUUCAGGAGCAGCAAAAUAGAAUCUCAAACUUUUUGGAAUCGAUCGCCUCCAAAAUACGUUGUCCUCGAUUCAGAAAUUUCAAUUUCCUACCAAAUUUUGGAGAAAAAAAAAGAAGAAAAAUAGAAAAAAUUUGCAUAAAUUUCUACUAAAAGAAGACUGUAUCUGCUUUUCUUUUGCUCGAAGGCUCCCCUUUUUUGUAUUUGAGAUUUUCUCUCUUGUAAUUUUUGCUUCUCACCUCCAAAAAAUUCCCAACCCUGAAAAUUGCUCCACGUUGAGCUAUUUAUAGAAAGGUGUAUGGGUGUAAUUUAGGGAUUUCUAAAAUAGGAAAUUUUGAAAUUCAAAAGGAAGGCGCCCCUUUUUUGUAUUUGAGAUUUUCUCUCUUGUAAUUUUUGCUUCUCACCUCCAAAAAAUUCCCAACCCUGAAAAUUGCUCCACGUUGAGCUAUUUAUAGAAAGGUGUAUGGGUGUAAUUUAGGGAUUUCUAAAAUAGGAAAUUUUGAAAUUCAAAAGUCAAAUCCCUCCUCCGCUUCGGUUUACAUCCACGAUGUCUAUGAAUUUUUUUAAUUCUUUGGCAAAAAUUGAAAAUGUUUGACCAAUAAAAUUUGGGAAAAACAAAUUGUCCUAAAAAACCGAAUGAGAUUCAUUCAAAUAUGUACGAAAUCGUACCAUUUCAUCUGAGAAUCGCGAAUUCAAACCGUUGGGGAGACAACUCAUCAAAUUCUAGAAAUUUCUUGGCUUUUCUCGUAUGAAUUCGAGUGGGACGGGUGGAGAGGAUUAGAAUGGGUCAAUUGCGGGUUGUGCUGGGUCGGGUCACCGUUGAAGCCGGAGUAUUGCUUGUUGGAUUGUCUUCAUUGGUGUCUUAUCAGGUUGAAACCAUUGUGGGUAUUUCUGAUAAUGUUGUUUCUACUAACGGGUAAAAGGAGAAAAGAAG